AGUGAUAAGUGUUAGGGGGGUUUCCGCCCCUUAGUGCUGCAGAUAACACAUUAAGCACUCCGCCUGGGGAGUACGGUCGCAAGACUGAAACUCAAAGGAAUUGACGGGGGCCCGCACAAGCGGUGGAGCAUGUGGUUUAAUUUGAAGCAACGCGAAGAACCUUACCAGGUCUUGACAUCCUCUGACAAUCCUAGAGAUAGGACGUCCCCUUCGGGGGCAGAGUGACAGGUGGUGCAUGGUUGUCGUCAGCUCGUGUCGUGAGAUGUUGGGUUAAGUCCCGCAACGAGCGCAACCCUUGAUCUUAGUUGCCAGCAUUCAGUUGGGCACUCUAAGGUGACUGCCGGUGACAAACCGGAGGAAGGUGGGGAUGACGUCAAAUCAUCAUGCCCCUUAUGACCUGGGCUACACACGUGCUACAAUGGACAGAACAAAGGGCAGCGAAACCGCGAGGUUAAGCCAAUCCCACAAAUCUGUUCUCAGUUCGGAUCGCAGUCUGCAACUCGACGGCGUGAAGCUGGAAUCGCUAGUAAUCGCGGAUCAGCAUGCCGCGGUGAAUACGUUCCCGGGCCUUGUACACACCGCCCGUCACACCACGAGAGUUUGUAACACCCGAAGUCGGUGAGGUAACCUUUUAGGAGCCAGCCGCCGAAGGUGGAACAAAGAGGGU
Molecule: ribosomal RNA, 667 nt
Filed under: Bacillus tequilensis
Lineage: Bacteria; Bacillati; Bacillota; Bacilli; Caryophanales; Bacillaceae
Description: bacterial SSU rRNA
Rfam family: Bacterial small subunit ribosomal RNA
Source: RNAcentral